UCGGGAAUUUUGGGCAAUGGGCGAAAGCCUGAUCCAGCCAUGCCGCGUGAGUGAAGAAGGCCUUCGGGUUGUAAAGCUCUUUCAGCCGGGAAGAAAACGCAUGGGUUAAUACCCUGUGUGGAUGACGGUACCGGAAUAAGAAGCACCGGCUAACUACGUGCCAGCAGCCGCGGUAAUACGUAGGGACCAAGCGUUGUUCGGAUUUACUGGGCGUAAAGGGCGCGUAGGCGGCGCGGUAAGUCACUUGUGAAAUCUCUGAGCUUAACUCAGAACGGCCAAGUGAUACUGCAGUGCUAGAGUGUGGAAGGGGCAAUCGGAAUUCUUGGUGUAGCGGUGAAAUGCGUAGAUAUCAAGAGGAACACCUGAGGUGAAGACGGGUUGCUGGGCUGACAUUGACGCUGAGGCGCGAAAGCCAGGGGAGCAAACGGGAUUAGAUACCCUCGUAGUCCCUGAGCGGGCUGGCAAGGCGCAU
This 472-nucleotide ribosomal RNA is filed under the name uncultured bacterium. RNAcentral's name for it is "bacterial SSU rRNA". It matches the Rfam family "Bacterial small subunit ribosomal RNA", at positions 355 to 825 of the family's 1533-position model. The record is from RNAcentral.